UGGAAAUAAUACUUCAUUUAGCCACAGUCUAUAACAUUCAUACUAUCUCAGAGCAAAGAUUUAACAAGGUAAUUUGUCUUUUCUCUUACCUGUGUUUCCACUGUUCAAAUCCUCCCUGUACUUCAGACGUUAUCUGCCCUAAUGCUGCCAACAGCACACGCACCGCCUUUCAGUGCAUUUGAACUGAGAGGAUACGAGCGAGAGAUACCGAGAAGUACUUUCCUGGGGACUCAAUGAAGAGUCAGAAGAGUGAAUAUUGAGGGCUACAAAUUAUGUUGUGCCAGCCAUGAACACUGGAAGGUCACCAGGCCAUUCUACUCUCUUUGAAUCUACAAUCAGUGCUUUCAUCCAGAUAGAUGAUCCAGUAUUUGGAUAUUAAUCUUUCCAGGGCACUCAGCCAGAAGCAUUCUUACCUAACUCCUCCACACCCUAGUGCCACUUAGCAUCUAAAUUGAGC
This 457-nucleotide long non-coding RNA is filed under the name Homo sapiens (human). RNAcentral describes it as "HSALNT0075562". Lineage: Eukaryota; Metazoa; Chordata; Mammalia; Primates; Hominidae. The record is from RNAcentral.